GGCGGACGGGUGAGUAACGCGUGGGUAACCUGCCUUGUACAGGGGGAUAACAGUUAGAAAUGACUGCUAAUACCGCAUAAGCGCACGGUAUCGCAUGAUACAGUGUGAAAAACUCCGGUGGUAUAAGAUGGACCCGCGUCUGAUUAGCUGGUUGGUGAGGUAACGGCCCACCAAGGCGACGAUCAGUAGCCGGCCUGAGAGGGUGAACGGCCACAUUGGGACUGAGACACGGCCCAAACUCC
This 242-nucleotide ribosomal RNA is filed under the name uncultured Eubacteriales bacterium. RNAcentral's name for it is "uncultured Clostridiales bacterium partial 16S ribosomal RNA". It matches the Rfam family "Bacterial small subunit ribosomal RNA", at positions 97 to 339 of the family's 1533-position model. Lineage: Bacteria; Bacillati; Bacillota; Clostridia; Eubacteriales. The record is from RNAcentral.